UGCAUGGGUACUUAAUUACCUGCUUGCUGCUUCUAUUCUACAAUGUUGCUUGAUGUUCCCUUCUUAUAUGUUCCCACAUGAGUCAUUAAAUUUUCCUUUAUUUCUUCCCAUCCAUUGCAUUUUUCAACUCGUCACUUGCAAUUUCAAAACUCUGAAGAAUUAUUAUUAUAUUUGGGUUUACAAAGAGGCGGAAGAGGAUUCAAAACAUCAAAUAUCAAGUUCAG
RNAcentral lists this unclassified non-coding RNA (224 nucleotides) under Hevea brasiliensis (rubber tree). Lineage: Eukaryota; Viridiplantae; Streptophyta; Magnoliopsida; Malpighiales; Euphorbiaceae. The record is from RNAcentral.